RNAcentral lists this ribosomal RNA (460 nucleotides) under uncultured bacterium. RNAcentral describes it as "partial 16S ribosomal RNA". It matches the Rfam family "Bacterial small subunit ribosomal RNA", at positions 338 to 795 of the family's 1533-position model. The record is from RNAcentral.
CCUACGGGAGGCAGCAGUGAGGAAUAUUGGUCAAUGGGCGGGAGCCUGAACCAGCCAAGUCGCGUGAGGGAAGACGGUCCUAUGGAUUGUAAACCUCUUUAGGCGGGGAGCAAUGCCGGGCACGCGUGCCCGGAGGGAGAGUACCCGCAGAAUAAGCAUCGGCUAACUCCGUGCCAGCAGCCGCGGUAAUACGGAGGAUGCGAGCGUUAUCCGGCUGUAUUGGGUUUAACGGGUGCGUAGGCGGAUUGUUAAGUCAGCGGUAAAAUGUCCGGGCUCAACCCGGGCCGGCCGUUGAAACUGGGGAUCUUGAGUGGGCGAGAAGUAGGCGGAAUGCGUGGUGUAGCGGUGAAAUGCAUAGAUAUCACGCAGAACUCCGAUUGCGAAGGCAGCAUACCGGCGCCCGACUGACGCUGAGGCACGAAAGCGUGGGGAUCGAACAGGAUUAGAUACCCUUGUAGUC